GGAGAAAAGCAGGGGAUCGCAAGACCUUGCGCUCAUUGAGCGGCCGAUGCCUGAUUAGCUAGUUGGUGAGGUAAAGGCUUACCAAGGCGACGAUCAGUAGCUGGUCUGAGAGGACGACCAGCCACACUGGGACUGAGACACGGCCCAGACUCCUACGGGAGGCAGCAGUGGGGAAUUUUGGACAAUGGGGGAAACCCUGAUCCAGCCAUGCCGCGUGAGUGAAGAAGGCCUUCGGGUUGUAAAGCUCUUUCAGCCAGAACGAAACGGUCACGGCUAAUACCUGUGACUACUGACGGUACCGGAAGAAGAAGCACCGGCUAACUACGUGCCAGCAGCCGCGGUAAUACGUAGGGUGCGAGCGUUAAUCGGAAUUACUGGGCGUAAAGCGUGCGCAGGCGGUUUUGUAAGUCAGAAGUGAAAUCCCCGAGCUUAACCUGGGAACUGCGUUGAAACUAGAAAGCUAGAAGGGC
This 470-nucleotide ribosomal RNA is filed under the name uncultured beta proteobacterium. Its description in RNAcentral is "bacterial SSU rRNA". It matches the Rfam family "Bacterial small subunit ribosomal RNA", at positions 198 to 650 of the family's 1533-position model. Lineage: Bacteria; Pseudomonadati; Pseudomonadota; Betaproteobacteria. The record is from RNAcentral.